AGCGGCGUAAGGGGCAGUAAUACCUGGGAACGUACCCGGAGGUCGGGGAUAGCUGCUGGAAACGGCGAGUAAUACCCGAUGAUCUUGGAAAAGCAAAGGCUUGCCGCCUUCGGAGCGGCCCAGGCGAUAUUAGCUAGUUGGUGAGGUAACGGCUUACCAAGGCCAAGAUGUCUAGCGGGUGUGAGAGCACGACCCGCGCCACUGGCACUGAGACACUGGCCAGACACCUACGGGUGGCUGCAGUCGAGAAUCUUCGGCAAUGAGCGCAAGCUUGACCGAGCGACGCCGCGUGCGGGAUGAAGGCCUUCGGGUUGUAAACCGCUUUGGUCCGAGAGAAAGGGCAACUUGAUCGAUCGGAGAAACAAGGACGGGCUAAGUUCGUGCCUGCAGCCGCGGCAAGACGAACCGUCCAAACGUUAUUCGGAAUCACUGGGCUUAAAGGGCGCGUAGGCGGCCGAGCGGGUCGCGGGUGAAAUCCUCCAGCUUAACUGGAGAACUGCCCUCGAUACCACUGCGGCUCGAGGAAGGAAGGGGUCAUGGGAACUGUCGGUGGAGCGGUGAAAUGCGUUGAUAUCGACAGGAACGCCUGUGGCGAAAGCGCAUGACUGGUCCUUUUCUGACGCUGAGGCGCGAAAGCCAGGGGAGCAAACGGGAUUAGAUACCCCGGUAGUCCUGGCCUUAAACGAUGAGAACUAGGUAG
This 700-nucleotide ribosomal RNA is filed under the name uncultured bacterium. RNAcentral's name for it is "bacterial SSU rRNA". It matches the Rfam family "Bacterial small subunit ribosomal RNA", at positions 94 to 823 of the family's 1533-position model. The record is from RNAcentral.